Molecule: ribosomal RNA, 525 nt
Filed under: uncultured delta proteobacterium
Lineage: Bacteria; Deltaproteobacteria
Description: bacterial SSU rRNA
Rfam family: Bacterial small subunit ribosomal RNA
Source: RNAcentral
CAGAAUAAACGCUGGCGGCGUGCCUAACACAUGCAAGUCGCACGAGAAAGGCCGUUUUCGGAUGGCCGAGUAAAGUGGCGCACGGGUGAGUAACGCGUAGGCAACCUACCCCUGUGUUCGGGAUAACAGUGCGAAAGCGCUGCUAAUACCGGAUAUUACCGUAGAGGGGAGACCUUCUGCGGUCAAAGCGGGCCUCUCGAAGAAGCUUGCGCGCGGGGAUGGGCCUGCGUCCUAUCAGCUAGUUGGUAGGGUAACGGCCUACCAAGGCGACGACGGGUAGCUGGUCUGAGAGGAUGAUCAGCCACACUGGCACUGGAACACGGGCCAGACUCCUACGGGAGGCAGCAGUGAGGAAUUUUGCGCAAUGGGAGCAAUCCUGACGCAGCAACGCCGCGUGGGUGAAGAAGGCCUUCGGGUCGUAAAGCCCUGUCAGGUGGGAAGAAAAAGCUCGAGGAUAACACCCUUGGGUAUUGACGGUACCACCAGAGGAAGCACCGGCUAACUCCGUGCCAGCAGCCGCGGUAA